This 420-nucleotide ribosomal RNA is filed under the name uncultured bacterium. Its description in RNAcentral is "bacterial SSU rRNA". It matches the Rfam family "Bacterial small subunit ribosomal RNA", at positions 355 to 774 of the family's 1533-position model. The record is from RNAcentral.
UAAGGAAUAUUGGUCAAUGGACGCAAGUCUGAACCAGCCAUGCCGCGUGAAGGAUGAAGGUCCUCUGGAUUGUAAACUUCUUUUAUCUGGGACGAAACGGGAUUUUUAUCUCAAUUGACGGCACCAGAGGAAUAAGCACCGGCUAACUCCGUGCCAGCAGCCGCGGUAAUACGGAGGGUGCGAGCGUUAUCCGGAUUUACUGGGUUUAAAGGGUGCGUAGGUGGGCUUAUAAGUCAGUGGUGAAAUCUCCGAGCUUAACUUGGAAACUGCCGUUGAUACUAUAGGUCUUGAAUUAUCUGGAGGUAAGCGGAAUAUGUCAUGUAGCGGUGAAAUGCUUAGAUAUGACAUAGAACACCAAUUGCGAAGGCAGCUUACUACAUAUAAAUUGACGCUGAGGCACGAAAGCGUGGGGAUCGAACA